GACGAACGCUGGCGGCGUGCUUAACACAUGCAAGUCGAACGGAAAGGCCCUGCUCUUGUUGGUUGCUCGAGUGGCGAACGGGUGAGUAACACGUGAGUAACCUGCCCUUGACUUUGUGAUAACUUCAGGAAACUGGGGCUAAUACCGGAUAUGAUCUCCUGCUGCAUGGUGUUGGUUGGAAAGUUUCGGCUGUUGGGGAUGGACUCGCGGCUUCUCAGCUUGUUUGUGGGGUAGUGGCUUACCAAGGCUUUGACGGGUAGCCUGCCUGAGAGGGUGAACGGCGACAUUGGGACUGAGAUACGGCCCAGACUCGUACGGGAGGCAGCAGGGGGGAAUAUUGCAGAAUGGGCGGGAGCCUGAGGCAGAAACGCCGCGUGCGGGAUGACGGGCUUCGGGUUGUAAACAGCUUUCGACUGUGACGAAGAGGGAGUGACGGUAAUGGGUAAAGAAGCAACGGCUAACUACGUG
Molecule: ribosomal RNA, 468 nt
Filed under: uncultured bacterium
Lineage: Bacteria
Description: partial 16S ribosomal RNA
Rfam family: Bacterial small subunit ribosomal RNA
Source: RNAcentral